GAUGAACGCUGGCGGCGUGCUUAACACAUGCAAGUCGAGCGAGAAGUUUUGAAAAGAUUCUUCGGAUGAAAUUUAAAAUGGAAAGCGGCGGACGGGUGAGUAACGCGUAGGCAACCUGCCCCAUACAAAGGGAUAGCAUUUGGAAACGAAUAUUAAUACCUUAUGAAACUUAACUAGUGCAUGCUAGGUAGGUCAAAGAUUUAUCGGUAUGGGAUGGGCCUGCGUCUGAUUAGCUAGUUGGUGAGGUAACGGCUCACCAAGGCGACGAUCAGUAGCCGACCUGAGAGGGUGAACGGCCACAUUGGAACUGAGACACGGUCCAAACUCCUACGGGAGGCAGCAGUGGGGAAUAUUGCACAAUGGGGGAAACCCUGAUGCAGCAACGCCGCGUGAACGAUGAAGGCCUUUGGGUCGUAAAGUUCUGUUCUAGGUGA
RNAcentral lists this ribosomal RNA (434 nucleotides) under uncultured bacterium. RNAcentral's name for it is "bacterial SSU rRNA". It matches the Rfam family "Bacterial small subunit ribosomal RNA", at positions 28 to 445 of the family's 1533-position model. The record is from RNAcentral.